This 521-nucleotide ribosomal RNA is filed under the name uncultured bacterium. Its description in RNAcentral is "bacterial SSU rRNA". It matches the Rfam family "Archaeal small subunit ribosomal RNA", at positions 345 to 866 of the family's 1478-position model. The record is from RNAcentral.
AACCUCCGCAAUGUGAGAAAUCGCGACGGGGGGAUCCCAAGUGCCAUUCUUAACGGGAUGGCUUUUCAUUAGUGUAAAGAGCUUUUGGAAUAAGGGCUGGGCAAGACCGGUGCCAGCCGCCGCGGUAACACCGGCAGCUCUAGUGGUAGCAGUUUUUAUUGGGCCUAAAGCGUCCGUAGCCGGUUUAAUAAGUCUCUGGUGAAAUCCUGUAGCUUAACUGUGGGAAUUGCUGGAGAUACUAUUAGACUUGAGGCCGGGAGAGGUUAGAGGUACUCCCAGGGUAGAGGUGAAAUUCUGUAAUCCUGGGAGGACCGCCUGUUGCGAAGGCGUCUAACUGGAACGGUUCUGACGGUGAGGGACGAAAGUUAGGGGCGCGAACCGGAUUAGAUACCCGGGUAGUCCUAACCGUAAACGAUGCGGACUUGGUGUUGGGGUGGCUUUGAGCUGCUCCAGUGCCGAAGGGAAGCUGUUAAGUCCGCCGCCUGGGAAGUACGGUCGCAAGACUGAAACUUAAAGGAAGU